RNAcentral lists this non-coding RNA (23 nucleotides) under Arabidopsis thaliana (thale cress). The record is from RNAcentral. Lineage: Eukaryota; Viridiplantae; Streptophyta; Magnoliopsida; Brassicales; Brassicaceae.
ACUUCUGAAACAACUCUUUGCCC